Non-coding RNA from Populus trichocarpa (black cottonwood), 78 nucleotides. The record is from Rfam. Lineage: Eukaryota; Viridiplantae; Streptophyta; Magnoliopsida; Malpighiales; Salicaceae.
AGGAGCCAUAUGAGGUGAAAAUCUCAUGUAUGGUUUUGUAAUAGCGAUGGGAACAGUGAUGUCAUCACCGACUAUGAU